AAAUAAGUAAGCUAAACUAAUAAAGCUUUUAGGUUCAUACCCUAACUAUAGAUCUAUAUCUCUUAUUUA
This 69-nucleotide transfer RNA is filed under the name Pseudomyrmex dendroicus. Its description in RNAcentral is "tRNA-Met". The record is from RNAcentral. Lineage: Eukaryota; Metazoa; Arthropoda; Insecta; Hymenoptera; Formicidae.